GCGGGGGAAGCUCUCAACGAGCUAGGGUCGUCGCCUUGGUGAGUUUUACCUUUGCUGACAGGUGAUGGACUUGGGCUAUGCUUGGGGAGUGCCUUGAGGUGGGGGACAACAGUUGGAAACGACUGCUAAUACCGCAUAAUGUCUACGGACCAAAGGGGGCUUCGGCUCUCGCCUUUAGAUUGGCCCAAGUGGGAUUAGCUAGUUGGUGAGGUAAUGGCUCACCAAGGCGACGAUCCCUAGCUGGUUUGAGAGGAUGAUCAGCCACACUGGGACUGAGACACGGCCCAGACUCCUACGGGAGGCAGCAGUGGGGAAUAUUGCACAAUGGGCGCAAGCCUGAUGCAGCCAUGCCGCGUGUGUGAAGAAGGCCUUCGGGUUGUAAAGCACUUUCAGUCAGGAGGAAAGCGUGGUGGUUAAUACCCAUCAUGUGUGACGUUACUGACAGAAGAAGCACCGGCUAACUCCGUGCCAGCAGCCGCGGUAAUACGGAGGGUGCGAGCGUUAAUCGGAAUUACUGGGCGUAAAGCGUACGCAGGCGGUUUGUUAAGCGAGAUGUGAAAGCCCCGGGCUCAACCUGGGAACUGCAUUUCGAACUGGCAAACUAGAGUGUGAUAGAGGGUGGUAGAAUUUCAGGUGUAGCGGUGAAAUGCGUAGAGAUCUGAAGGAAUACCGAUGGCGAAGGCAGCCACCUGGGUCAACACUGACGCUCAUGUACGAAAGCGUGGGGAGCAAACGGGAUUAGAUACCCCGGUAGUCCACGCCGUAAACGAUGUCUACUAGAAGCUCGGAGCCUCGGUUCUGUUUUUCAAAGCUAACGCAUUAAGUAGACCGCCUGGGGAGUACGGCCGCAAGGUUAAAACUCAAAUGAAUUGACGGGGGCCCGCACAAGCGGUGGAGCAUGUGGUUUAAUUCGAUGCAACGCGAAGAACCUUACCUACACUUGACAUACAGAGAACUUACCAGAGAUGGUUUGGUGCCUUCGGGAACUCUGAUACAGGUGCUGCAUGGCUGUCGUCAGCUCGUGUUGUGAGAUGUGGUUAAGUCCCGCAACGAGCGCAACCCCUAUCCUUAGUUGCUAGCAGGUAAUGCUGAGAACUUCUAAGAGACUGC
This 1110-nucleotide ribosomal RNA is filed under the name Pseudoalteromonas sp. D4011. RNAcentral describes it as "bacterial SSU rRNA". It matches the Rfam family "Bacterial small subunit ribosomal RNA", at positions 1 to 1152 of the family's 1533-position model. The record is from RNAcentral. Lineage: Bacteria; Pseudomonadati; Pseudomonadota; Gammaproteobacteria; Alteromonadales; Pseudoalteromonadaceae.